This 20-nucleotide non-coding RNA is filed under the name Arabidopsis thaliana (thale cress). Lineage: Eukaryota; Viridiplantae; Streptophyta; Magnoliopsida; Brassicales; Brassicaceae. The record is from RNAcentral.
GCUGAGGUGGACAUCUUGAG